Molecule: unclassified non-coding RNA, 213 nt
Filed under: soil metagenome
Description: partial internal transcribed spacer 1
Source: RNAcentral
AAAAGUUGUUCGAAGCGGUCUCAGGCACUGCCAGGUGACCGCUUAGACAUCAACACCCUCUGUAUAUCUACCGCGUUGCUUUGGCGGGACGGCAGCCAGCAGCCCUGCUGGGAAGCUGUCCGUGGGACCUCUUAAGGCCCCGCGGAGCGCCCGUCAGAGAAUCGUCAAACUCAUGUUAAACCGUGAUGUCUGAGCUUUACAAGCAAUAAGUUA